ACGAACGCUGGCGGCACGCUUAAAACAUGCAAGUCGAACGUGAAGCCCGGGCUUGCCCGGGUGGAAAGUGGCGAACGGGUGCGUAACACGUGAGCAACCUGCCCCGAAGACCGGGAUAACACCGGGAAACCGGUGCUAAUACCGGAUACCUUCACCAUGUCGCAUGGCGCGGUGAAGAAAUGGAUUCCGCUUCGGGAUGGGCUCGCGGCCUAUCAGCUUGUGGUGGGUAACGCCUA
RNAcentral lists this ribosomal RNA (236 nucleotides) under uncultured bacterium. Its description in RNAcentral is "partial 16S ribosomal RNA". It matches the Rfam family "Bacterial small subunit ribosomal RNA", at positions 29 to 266 of the family's 1533-position model. The record is from RNAcentral.